This 71-nucleotide transfer RNA is filed under the name Phaeoacremonium minimum UCRPA7. RNAcentral's name for it is "tRNA-Gly (CCC) (tRNA-Gly-CCC-1-1)". It matches the Rfam family "tRNA". From Rfam's summary of the family: Transfer RNA (tRNA) molecules are approximately 80 nucleotides in length. Their secondary structure includes four short double-helical elements and three loops (D, anti-codon, and T loops). Further hydrogen bonds mediate the characteristic L-shaped molecular structure. tRNAs have two regions of fundamental functional importance: the anti-codon, which is responsible for specific mRNA codon recognition, and the 3' end, to which the tRNAs corresponding amino acid is attached (by aminoacyl-tRNA synthetases). tRNAs cope with the degeneracy of the genetic code in two manners: having more than one tRNA (with a specific anti-codon) for a particular amino acid; and 'wobble' base-pairing, i.e. permitting non-standard base-pairing at the 3rd anti-codon position. The record is from RNAcentral. Lineage: Eukaryota; Fungi; Ascomycota; Sordariomycetes; Togniniales; Togniniaceae.
GCAUGGUUGGUGGAACGGUAUCAUCUGCGCUUCCCAUGCGCAGGUCCCGGGUUCGACUCCCGGACCAUGCA